ACAGUAUGGUAUGGGCAUCUAUGAAUGAGGUACUUAAGUCUCUUCCAUGUUUCAUGAAACAAUUCUCCAUCCAUUUGAAGAAAACUAGUGAUGGCUUUCCUAAUUU
Small nucleolar RNA from Elaeis guineensis (African oil palm), 106 nucleotides. NCBI's taxonomy places the organism in Eukaryota, Viridiplantae, Streptophyta, Magnoliopsida, Arecales, Arecaceae. The record is from RefSeq and is a predicted model, not a curated record.